Molecule: long non-coding RNA, 838 nt
Organism: Daphnia pulicaria
Lineage: Eukaryota; Metazoa; Arthropoda; Branchiopoda; Diplostraca; Daphniidae
Exons: 3
Source: RefSeq, a predicted model, not a curated record
GUGAGGACGACACGGGACGACACGUGUUACGUAUAUCAUUAUCAAACCCAUCUCCAGCAACGUAAACCUCCAGAAGGAAAAGCCAGUUUGGUGUCUUUCAUACUAGAAGGUCACGGAGAUCAUUGCGUAAAACGUGUCAUGCAGUGGUGUAGAGGUUGGGUGAGAAAGGGAAGUGUUUGCUUCAUUAUCAAGCAGGUACAAUACCCGCAAGGCUUAAAAGGUGAGGGUGAGGAAAAAAUCGUAUAAAAGGAGAGAGAAAAGGCGUAAGAAAUCAAUCGAGUGAGCAUUUCCGACACGGUAACAACUGCAGCCCACUAUCUGUCACCAACUGCCUUCUUCCAAUUCGCCAUCAUGGUUAAUUAUGACGUCGUGCUGCUGGUGGUUGUUGUAUCGUGUGGCUGGGUCGACGACUGGUGUACCGAUGUCUCCUGGGUAUGACGGCUGCCAAACCGCAACGCUAACGAUUUGUUACACAAGAACAACUUACGCAACGACCGGUUACUACACCAAGGCACCGGAGUACUACACGACUAGAUAUGCUGCCCUGGCCUACUACACAGAAUCUCCAAAGUAUUAUUCUGCCCCGAGCUACACCACCAAAGCGCUUGAGUACUACACCGAGGCUGGAUAGAAGAUGGGUGAGAACGACAAGUGUUACGUCAUUAUCAAGCAGGCUACUAUAACUGUGGGUACAACAGCCGCAAGGCUUUAAGAAUUGAGUAAGGUUGAGAAAAUUUCAUAAAAGGAGAGAAAAGUUGAUAGAUAUAAGUUGGAUGGGGAUUCUCCGACGAUAACGGCAGUGCGCUAUGUCAUUAUCUGGAUUUUGAUCAGUUCAAAU